AUGAAAGCGGCGGCCCCCAGGGACCCAAAGACCCACUGCAGAUUAUUUGGGUACCUGGUGGCCUACCUCUCAUCAAUUUACGGGCACAGGUCGGGGGUGCUGACCAGAAUGAGAGUGAAGGAGGUCCAGGACGCCAUCGGGGACAGUGAGAAGGGCUACCUCAUUAAUCUCAUGGAGCACAAGACCGUGAGGAAGUUUGGGGUGGCCCAGGUCUAUUUGGAGUCAGACGAGUACGGGUGGUGCAGGGAGUGGCUCUGCCUGCGGCUGCCCUCCCUGCCCCAGAACUCGUACUUUUUCACGUCCUUUGGAAGGGGGGAGCCAAAGGACCUCAUAAAGUACUUCCGUCAAGCUUGGGGGGAGAUGGGCCUCCCCGGGUCUCCAAGCUUGACGGACAUCCGUUCAGCCGUGGCCACAUACAACUUGGAGACCAACCACUCAGAGGUCCGCAGGAACAUGAGUGAAUUCAUGUGCCACGACGUCCACACUUGUGGAGCGCAUAAAAGCGCUCCACAAGACAUUGCCACGGGCCAAGCAGAUGAGGGACCUCUUCGUCUGCUUGGCCCAGCAGGAGCCUUCACCCGCUCCUGCUGGCUCCUCCUCCCCCGCUCCUGCUGGCUCCUCCUCCCCCGCUCCUGCUGGCUCCUCCUCCCCCGUUCCUGCUGGCUCCUCCUCCCCCGCUCCUGCUGGCUCCUCCUCCUCCUCCUCCACUCGUGCUGGCUCUAUUAAGAAGAGGCUAAGGCCCUCUGUGGCCCAACGGUUGGCAAGAAAGGUGAAGGAGAGAGUGGGGAUUUCUCCCCGAAAGAGCAGGAGGAGGGCAGUCAUUGUCCUGAAAAAACUAGAGUAGUUCAGUUCAGUUAUAUAUAUUUAUUAUUCGUGUUGUGUUUCAGUUCUAUAUAUUUAUUCAUGUUAUGUUUAAGUUCUUAAUAUUUAUUCAUGUUCCGUGUUUUAGUUAUAUAUAUUUAUUCAUGUUAUGUUCAAGUUCUUAAUAUUUAUUCAUGUUCCGUGUUUUAGUUAUAUAUAUAUUCAUGUUGUGUUUUAGUUAUAUAUAUAUAUAUAUGUAUUCAUGUUCCUUGUUCUGUUUCAAUAAAAAAAACAUUUGGAA
This 1102-nucleotide long non-coding RNA is filed under the name Gadus morhua (Atlantic cod). Its description in RNAcentral is "lncRNA (ENSGMOG00000035541.1)". Lineage: Eukaryota; Metazoa; Chordata; Actinopteri; Gadiformes; Gadidae. The record is from RNAcentral.